GCCGAAUUAGCUCAGUUGGCCAGAGCACGUGAUUUGUAAUCUCGGGGUCCACAGUUCGAAUCUGUGAUUCGGCUCAA
RNAcentral lists this transfer RNA (77 nucleotides) under Prolixibacteraceae bacterium. RNAcentral describes it as "tRNA-Thr". It matches the Rfam family "tRNA". Rfam says of the family: Transfer RNA (tRNA) molecules are approximately 80 nucleotides in length. Their secondary structure includes four short double-helical elements and three loops (D, anti-codon, and T loops). Further hydrogen bonds mediate the characteristic L-shaped molecular structure. tRNAs have two regions of fundamental functional importance: the anti-codon, which is responsible for specific mRNA codon recognition, and the 3' end, to which the tRNAs corresponding amino acid is attached (by aminoacyl-tRNA synthetases). tRNAs cope with the degeneracy of the genetic code in two manners: having more than one tRNA (with a specific anti-codon) for a particular amino acid; and 'wobble' base-pairing, i.e. permitting non-standard base-pairing at the 3rd anti-codon position. Lineage: Bacteria; Pseudomonadati; Bacteroidota; Bacteroidia; Marinilabiliales; Prolixibacteraceae. The record is from RNAcentral.